Molecule: long non-coding RNA, 354 nt
Organism: Limulus polyphemus (Atlantic horseshoe crab)
Lineage: Eukaryota; Metazoa; Arthropoda; Merostomata; Xiphosura; Limulidae
Exons: 3
Source: RefSeq, a predicted model, not a curated record
GAACACAGUUGGAAGUUACAAGUGUAUCACUCUGUGCCCACGAGGAUUUGUGAAAAGUCAUAAUGGCACUUGUGUUGAUACUGAUGAGUGUAGGAUUGGAAGCAACCAGUGUCAUUACAGCCAAGUCUGUACCAACACAUAUGGUAGCUACAGAUGUUCCUGCCCUCGAGGAUACUAUUCUACAGGCACAGGCCAGCCUUGUCAAGAUGUAAACGAGUGUUCCCAGUUUCCGAGCCCAUGCAGCUAUCAAUGUCGGAACCUGAAAGGGGAUUAUGAAUGUAUAUGCGCUCCGGGGCAGAAACUACUGUCGGACGGAAAGUCAUGUGCUGGUUAGAUAUUGUAUUUUAUAAGCUG